UCCUUCCCACAUAAGAAGAGCGAUGCCUUGAAUAAGUUUUUCUCUGCCCCAUCUCGUCUUCCCUCUCUACCGAGUGGAAAUAAUUCCAUUCCAGGAUUUGGUACCUGCCACGCUUUCCUUUUUCCAUUUUGCCGAGCCUCAUGCUCGGGUCUCUCUCUCUCAGUGAGGCUGAGGAUGACGAACUGAAUCCUUACGCGGUCAAGAAAGUAUCUUAUUCUCACAGAGUCUGCCUGUGUCCCGUUUGUGCUGCUGUAAUGGGACACCCGACGCUGGGGCGGCUGACUCCUGGAGACUGCUCAGCUGGUCUUUGAAGACAGCCUCCCAAGGGCGAUUUCAAGGGUUUUCAGCAAGCUUCUCCUCCUUCCCAAGGAGGAAACCCAUACACAGAGCCCCUUCCUGGGGUGCCUACUUCUGGGUCUGGGUGCCCUCUCUUCUAGUUGGCCCCUUGUUCCCUGGUUUUCAGACUUCGCCUUCUGUUAGUCCCAGGUGGGAAAACUAUCACCGCAAGGCACAGAUUUGGGACAGCUGAGAAAUGUCAGAGUGAAGAGAAGAUGGAAGAAGCAGGCUCAGGUCUGGCCAGCAGAAGACCAGAGACAGCCAAAGCAGUGACAUCGGAGUGAUAUAGGACCACAGAUGUGAGCGUCACAUUUACUGUAAAUGCUGAUGUAACAAGGCCCCCUGCUGUGUCUGAAUGUGCUCCCCCACACCCCCUACCAGGUUCAGGGGGCAGAAACAAAUGUUGAGAGUCAGUUAGGUCAUCAAGCAUGUCCUCCAGCACAAAUUAAUGAAUGACAUUGUUAUGGAGUGGGCUUCUAAUAAGGUCCCACCCCCUCUACCGCACAAGCCCCUCUCCUCCUCAGCCUUUCCUCACUCUUAUUCUCUUGCCACGUGACAUUUCCACCAUGGAGCAGCACAACACCAAAGCUCAAUGCUCUUGACCGAGGUCAUCGUGUGCUCUUGAGCAUCUCAGCCCCAGAACCGUAAAGCAAAUGUAUACAUUUUGUUCUUUAUAAAUUGCCCAGCCCGUGACCUGUUAGAACAGCAGAAAGAGCAUGAGGACCCUUACUGUCUUCCCCCUUAGUGGAUUCCACAGCCCAUGUCUGUGUUGUCUUAAAGGGAGAGUAUUAAGGGACCAGAAUGUGAAAUGGCAUGUUUUAGGUGACCAGGAUCUAGAGGUGGUACCAACAUAGAUGUCCCAGGAGCUUGGCAGCAGAAGGGGUGGUGAGGAUCACGGUGAAAGGUCCUGUCCAUUGGGGCCUGAGAGACCUAGGAACCAGCUGCUUGAGGCGUUCUGUCCCCUGGGGAGAGUGGAGUAGGCAGGUCUGAAGGUUGGCAGGGUCUCAUAUCCUGGUGUGGUGAGGCUGGACCUCCAUGGCAUGCCUUAGAGGGUGAGCCACACGAGGGCAUUCUGAUUUCCAAUGUGGUCAGUUUCCCUGGUGGGGGCCCCGGUGGCCUCAGUACAGUUGCUGAGGCUUGGGCUUGAAGUGUAGACUUAUGUUGUAGCCUUGUCUGUCGGGAGGACUCGGCUGUCUCUUCUUGGGUACUGGAAACUUUAAAAACCACCAACGGCUGUAUGGGAGUUUAGGGACCAUCCUCAGCCUUUUUAAAAUUUCUUUCUAAUAUCUGACGCUGACUGAGAAAUAAAAUGGGUGACCAGGAUUGUGGUUCCUGCUGGGGAGGCUGGGUCAAAGUCAAGUAUAUUGAACCAUGCGUGGUCUCUAGUAAUUGAUUUAGAAAAAUGGUCAGGUUCUUAUCAGCUAACUGUGUAAUCUCUCAGAGCUUAUCAAAAUUAGCAACUUUUUCUGAGUCCAUCUCCAUACCCUGAAGGCAGGUAUGAGGUCCUUGUAAUGAUUAUUCUGUCUCUUUAAGAGACAAGCCGUGCCCACUCCCUCCUCCAUCCACUGAGGCAGGCUGAUCUUCAGUUUCCUGCCUGAGUUCUCAUUCUUUUCUAGCUCCCUCUCAGAGAGGCAGCUUCGGUCUCUUCUCCUCUCUCUCUCUA
Molecule: non-coding RNA, 1999 nt
Organism: Myodes glareolus (Bank vole)
Lineage: Eukaryota; Metazoa; Chordata; Mammalia; Rodentia; Cricetidae
Source: RefSeq, a predicted model, not a curated record